AACCGUUUGGUAUCAGCCCAUGGCCCCUGUUGAUCAUCUGGGCUUCUGUCCGGUGCACUCAUCAGGGGUCGGGCCAGCGUCGACUUUGCCCGCUGGAGAAAGGCCUUGGGAAUGUGACUCCUCACGGAGUGUUAUAGCCCUGGGCGUCAUGCAGUGUGGCGGGGUCGAGGUCCGCGGUCUUCCUAGGACGCUGGCGUAAUGGUCCCAAGCGA
RNAcentral lists this ribosomal RNA (212 nucleotides) under Archaeorhizomycetales sp. RNAcentral describes it as "partial large subunit ribosomal RNA". The record is from RNAcentral. Lineage: Eukaryota; Fungi; Ascomycota; Archaeorhizomycetes; Archaeorhizomycetales.